This 274-nucleotide ribosomal RNA is filed under the name uncultured bacterium. RNAcentral's name for it is "partial 16S ribosomal RNA". It matches the Rfam family "Bacterial small subunit ribosomal RNA", at positions 523 to 796 of the family's 1533-position model. The record is from RNAcentral.
AUACGGAGGGUGCAAGCGUUACUCGGAAUCACUGGGCGUAAAGCGCGCGCAGGCGGGCUGAUAAGUUGGAUGUGAAAGCCUACGGCUCAACCGUAGAACUGCAUCCAAAACUAUUAGACUAGAGUGUGGGAGAGGAAGAUGGAAUUAGUUGUGUAGGGGUAAAAUCCGUAGAGAUAACUAGGAAUACCAAAAGCGAAGGCAAUCUUCUGGAACACUACUGACGCUGAGGCGCGAAAGCGUGGGGAGCAAACAGGAUUAGAAACCCUAGUAGUCC